This 321-nucleotide ribosomal RNA is filed under the name Microbacterium sp. NF89. RNAcentral describes it as "bacterial SSU rRNA". It matches the Rfam family "Bacterial small subunit ribosomal RNA", at positions 68 to 390 of the family's 1533-position model. The record is from RNAcentral. Lineage: Bacteria; Bacillati; Actinomycetota; Actinomycetes; Micrococcales; Microbacteriaceae.
GGUGAAGCCAAGCUUGCUUGGUGCAUCAGUGGCGAACGGGUGAGUAACACGUGAGCAACCUGCCCUGGACUCUGGGAUAAGCGCUGGAAACGGCGUCUAAUACUGGAUAUGAAACGUGAUCGCAUGGUCGUGUUUGGAAAGAUUUUUCGGUCUGGGAUGGGCUCGCGGCCUAUCAGCUUGUUGGGGAUGUAAUGGCUCACCAAGGCGUCGACGGGUACCCGGCCUGAGAGGGUGACCGGCCACACUGGGACUGAGACACGGCCCAACUCCUACGGGAGGCAUCAGUGUUGAAUAUUGCACAAUGGGCGAAAGCCUGAUGCA